UGGCUGAGUGGUAAAGCGCUUUGGCUCCUGAACAGGGGGUCCCAGGUUCAAAUCCUGG
This 58-nucleotide transfer RNA is filed under the name Biomphalaria glabrata. It matches the Rfam family "tRNA", at positions 8 to 63 of the family's 71-position model. From Rfam's summary of the family: Transfer RNA (tRNA) molecules are approximately 80 nucleotides in length. Their secondary structure includes four short double-helical elements and three loops (D, anti-codon, and T loops). Further hydrogen bonds mediate the characteristic L-shaped molecular structure. tRNAs have two regions of fundamental functional importance: the anti-codon, which is responsible for specific mRNA codon recognition, and the 3' end, to which the tRNAs corresponding amino acid is attached (by aminoacyl-tRNA synthetases). tRNAs cope with the degeneracy of the genetic code in two manners: having more than one tRNA (with a specific anti-codon) for a particular amino acid; and 'wobble' base-pairing, i.e. permitting non-standard base-pairing at the 3rd anti-codon position. The record is from Rfam by way of RNAcentral. Lineage: Eukaryota; Metazoa; Mollusca; Gastropoda; Planorbidae.